This 661-nucleotide long non-coding RNA is filed under the name Rosa chinensis. Its description in RNAcentral is "sRNA RchiOBHm_Chr2g0135491". Lineage: Eukaryota; Viridiplantae; Streptophyta; Magnoliopsida; Rosales; Rosaceae. The record is from RNAcentral.
AUGUCCCUGAUCUCUCUCAUCAUCUUAUAUCUGACCUCCUCACCAGGGAAAUAAUUGGCAGGGGUUAUCUGAGGGGUCGACUAUUUCAUCUGAAUUGCAUGUUCGCCGGAGUGAAGCCGGAGAAGGCAGUUCAAGCAGCUUUGAUUUCGAUUGGGGUUACUAAUCAAGUUGAAGAAUUAUGGCUAUGGCAUCGGAGAUUGGGACAUCCUUCCUUUAGUGUCAUGAAGAAAUCUAUGCCAUCCUUGUUUCUGGGUAUUGAUGAGUCUAAGUUGCACUGUGAGUCAUGUGUCUUAGCUAAAAGUCAUCGUACUACUUAUCUUUUGAGUACUACUAGGAGUUCUUUUCCUUUUGAGCUUAUUCAUUCUGAUGUCUGGGGACCUUCCCGUGAGUCAACCUUGUCUGGAAAACAUUGGUUUGUUUUGUUUAUUGAUGAUUAUACCCGUCUUACUUGGGUCGCUUUAUUGAAACACAAAUAUGAAGUCUUCUCUGCUUUCCAAGAAUUUUUUGCUCUUGUUCAAAAUCAAUUUGGAGCCAAUAUUAAAGUCUUUCGUUCUGAUAAUGGGGGGGAGUUUGUCAAUUCUCAGUUUCACCAAUUCUUUCAUUCUCAUGUGAUCAUUCAUCAAACUACUUGCCCUCAAACCCCUGAACAAAAUGGGGUGUC